Camelina sativa (false flax) is the source of this 1137-nucleotide non-coding RNA. The record is from RefSeq and is a predicted model, not a curated record. Lineage: Eukaryota; Viridiplantae; Streptophyta; Magnoliopsida; Brassicales; Brassicaceae.
CCCUAAGAAUAGUCUCUCUCUCUCUUUCUCUUUGUGAGGUGGCUUCGUUCCUCUGAUUUUCCUAACCCUAAUUAUUGUUCCUGAGAUUCCUAUCUACGAUCCGGUGACGAGUUCAGAGGAAGCCAAGGUCGUUGGUACCGAAGAAGAUCUGUCUUAGCUCGAAACGACACCGUCGAUGCCAACACCCCUCAUGUUCCUCUGACUCUUCCUCUUCUUACUUUGAUUCCUCCAGAUCUGUGGAUUUCUUUCUCACCGACAUUUGAAAACCUUUGUUUGUUUGGAGUUAAAAAUUUAACUGUCAUUUAUUUCUUUUGGUGGUGUUCUUUGAAAGGAAUAAUGUUAAUGGAUUUAGAGAAAGCAUCUACGAUGUUCUUCAUCUAAAGCAGAUAUGUCGAUCCCCCAUGACGUUGCUACUGUUGGGACUACAAGACCUUAAGUAUUGUGGUUACAUUGCAGUUAUGAAAAUAGAGAUGGAGAAUGAGGAGUUAAGCCCACCUUCUCAAAGUUUUGACCUCCUUGAAUAGGACCAAGUUUUCCUAAUUUGAUCUAAGGAUGGUUUUGAGAAAAAAAAAUUCGUCUGAGCGUUGGGCGAUCUUAGGCUUCUCGAUGGUGGAAGGGAGGAACGAUAUGGUGAGGAUUGACAGUUCGUGAAGACUGUUUUAGAUCUAGUUGAGGUGAAGUCAGAUUCGAGGGAUUGAGGUUUCUAAGUACUUUGACACUAUUACUCCUGAAGACAAGCCAAAGUCGAUUCAUUGAUUUCAAAGUAAGCAAAGAAGGAACUAGGUGCCAAAUACUGGAUUGGUUUUCAAAGGAAGAGGUUGUGGUGGGGGAAGGUCUCAUACUGAUUUGAACUUGUGGUGUUCUUCUCUCUAUGGUACAUUAGGUGGUUUAAAGAACUCAAGACAUGUUGAAGUUGAUUAUCUGAUGAUAUCAAAGAAGUUUCAAAGAUUAGAGGUCCAAUAGUGUGGAAAAUUCAUGGAGUUUACAAGAGUUUUCUAGACUUAUUUUCUAAUAUGUAAUUUUACUUUGUAAUGAUAUGUCAAUAUUCUUGUAGCUAGUAGAACUUUUUGUAUUUGUACUUGUGGAACAUUUUUCUUGUAUAUUACUAUUGUGGUUAUAUGAACUUUUUUUUAUACA